GUGCCAGCAGCCGCGGUAAUACGGAGGAUGCAAGCGUUAUCCGGAUUCAUUGGGUUUAAAGGGUGCGUAGGCGGAUUGAUAAGUCAGUGGUGAAAUCCUACAGCUUAACUGUAGAACUGCCAUUGAUACUGUCAUGUCUUGAGUUUGGUUAAGGUAGGCGGAAUGUGUAAUGUAGCGGUGAAAUGCUUAGAUAUUACACAGAACACCAAUUGCGUAGGCAGCUUACUGGACCGACACUGACGCUGAGGCACGAAAGCGUGGGGAUCGAACAGGAUUAGAAACCCUGGUAGUCC
This 293-nucleotide ribosomal RNA is filed under the name uncultured bacterium. Its description in RNAcentral is "partial 16S ribosomal RNA". It matches the Rfam family "Bacterial small subunit ribosomal RNA", at positions 505 to 796 of the family's 1533-position model. The record is from RNAcentral.